RNAcentral lists this ribosomal RNA (208 nucleotides) under uncultured bacterium. RNAcentral's name for it is "partial 16S ribosomal RNA". It matches the Rfam family "Bacterial small subunit ribosomal RNA", at positions 568 to 774 of the family's 1533-position model. The record is from RNAcentral.
UGCGUAGGCGGCUUGGUAAGUCAGGGGUGAAAUCUGUCGGCUCAACCGGCAAACUGCCCCUGAAACUGCCUGGCUUGAGUCCGGGAGAGGAAGGUGGAAUUCCUGGUGUAGCGGUGAAAUGCGUAAAUAUCAGGAGGAACACCGGUGGCGAAGGCGGCCUUCUGGUCCGGUACUGACGCUGAGGCACGAAAGCCGAGGGGAGCGAACG